UCUGAAUGUGAAAAAUGUAAUUGGUCGUUACUGAACGUUGUCUCCUUUAAGAGAGUGUGAGAUAUUGACCAAUGAAGUGAGAGGACUCAUUUGCCGAGAAAUGACUGAUGGACAGCACGGAAAAAAAAGAAGAGAGAGAGGAAUACUAAAGAUUGUUGGAGAUUUCAGAAAGAGAGAGGAAAAAAAACACGUUUGGGAAUUAAAAACAAACAAAAAAAAAAAAACUAGAAGGAGAUUCUAGUAAAGUAUUAGUUUAGUUUGAACUGAAUUUUUUUUUGUUGAAUUGGUUGAAUUUUGGAUUUGGCAACAACACGAACUAAGUUGCUACCACAUGGAACAAGAUGGCGAGCCACCCAACAGACCUUGAGUGAAACGAGGAUAAAUGAGGACUUCAGUGGAUUUACUACUUUGUUUUCCUGAAUAAAAAAAAAAAAAAAAAAAAAAAGGGAAAGAGGAAGAAUUGCACAGGGCGACAGAUUGACUUGACAUCGAACUCUUUGGUUGUUUUCCUCAAUCGUUUGUGGACUAUAUUUUUUUCUGGUCAGCAUAACGGUAGGCCUGAACUGUUCCUCUAACAUCACUUCGCCCCUCCUGACUCAAGGAAUGGGAGGUGGAAGAUGGAGCAGUUGGAGGACAAGACUGUGGAAGGGAGAGAUCUGUGGUGAUAAAUGAUGGAGGACUGCUCCACCGUGAUGCUUUCCGACUCCAAAAUGGAACUGUUGCACUGCUUCUGACUGGGGCUUUUGUGCUGCUUUGUUAUCGGGAUGUCAUUGUCCAGCUGCUGUGCUGUGGAGGUUGCUUUAAUACAAGUUUACAUGAAUUUCAUAUCUGUACAUAUUAACAAACAAAAAAAAAAUGCAUUUUAAAUACUAAUUAUUAUUUCUGAACACAAAUCUUGCUCCUACCCUUAGUCAAGAUAAAUUCAUACGCUGUCCUCAUCUUAUUUAAAACAUUUCUUGUGACAGGAGUGGGGAGCAGAUGGGUGAUUAUGUCUGCAACCCACCUAUUUGAAUUCUUUUUAUCUUGUUUGGCAAAAGAAUAAAAUAGGUUUGUAACCCACUG
Silurus meridionalis is the source of this 1062-nucleotide long non-coding RNA. RefSeq lists it as uncharacterized. NCBI's taxonomy places the organism in Eukaryota, Metazoa, Chordata, Actinopteri, Siluriformes, Siluridae. The transcript has 2 exons. The record is from RefSeq and is a predicted model, not a curated record.